GCAGCUCUCUCUCAUGGCUGGCAUGCCAAGGCGUUUUAGUUACCAAGAGCUGCAACAAGUCACAGGAAACUUCAGUGAAAUGCUUGGAAAUGGAGGAUUUGGAAGCGUGUUCAAAGGAAACCUUGCCGAUGGAAUUGAGGUCGCUGUGAAGAAACUUGAAGGCUCCAACCAGAGGAGCAAAGAUUUUUUCGCCGAAGUUGGAAUCCUAGCCAGGACGCACCACUGGAACCUCGUCAAGCUGCUGGGAUUCUGUGCCCAGGGUCCAAGGAAAAGGCUCCUGGUGUACGAAUAUAUGAGGAACGGGUCCCUCGACCGAUGGAUAUUUGAAGACGAUGAAUAUCCUGGCAAUGUGCCGUGGGGAGUUAGAUACAACAUUGCCUUGGGCACAGCAAGAGGAUUGAGCUACUUACAUGACGAAUGCGCUGAAAAGAUAAUCCACUUGGACUUGAAGCCGGAGAAUGUGCUCCUCGACGAUGGUUUCCAGCCGAAAAUAGCAGAUUUCGGACUGUCCAGGCUCAUGGACAGGAAGGAAAGCCACUUGCAGCUGACGAUAACGAGAGGCACUCCUGGCUACGUCGCACCGGAGUGUGUUCAGGAAGGAACAGUGACUGAAAAAUCGGAUGUUUUCGGCUUCGGGGUAUUGCUGCUCGAGAUCAUAACAGGUUGCAGGAGCAGGAAUCUCUCGGAUGAUUUCCUGAAGGACUACCUGUUGGUCAGUGAAAGGGACGAGAAGGCUGUUGCUCACCUCCACCAAGACGACAAGGAAAGAGAGAGAUUGAAGACCGUGGUAAGUUUGUGUGUCCGAGACGAUCCAGACUUACGGCCCUCGAUGAUGAACGUGGUACCAAUGAUGCAAGGAGUUAUUAAGCUUCCUCAGAUCCCCUCGGAGUCGCAGCUCCAGUUCUUCCUCGCUUACAGAUCCAAACUUCAGCUUAGCAGAAGCACAACCUCGGACGUACCUCAGUACAGUUCUAAUAAGUUGCUGGGUUCGUCAACGUCGUUUGGAUUUCUCUCACAAGAGAGCCUGGGUUGUCGAUAAUUGGAUAGUGCUCAGUACCUAUACAAUGAUAUGUAAGUAAUUCAUACCUUGUGCCCAGUAUAUCCGUUACAGUCCACAAGAGUUGUAUAGCAAUCCUAACUUGAAGAAGGAGCUUGCUUCUUCCCGAUCUGGAAAUUUGCAAAGAAAGUAAGAAAACAAACCUGCAACGACUUGCUCAAGAGCUCGUGCUUCGAAAUCGAGCGAGCCAAAGUAAUCAAGCAAAUGGCUAGCCUGCUUUUGACUCAAGUGACACUCUUCUACUGGAACUCAAGUAUACCUUUGAUCGAACUUCUCCAGUUCAGACACAUCCCAUUGGCUUUCACCACGAACAAAAUUUCCCGCCGUUUCUAAAGCGAUUCCUCUCUCACCACAGCUUUCGCUAAACUGGAAAGAAAAGAAAAAAAAGAGAGGGGGAGUCGAAGGAAAACAAAAUCUGUGAGAAGAUUUCUCGUACCUGAUUCCUACGGAUUUCCUUCAACCUGUUAAAGCAUAUCCACAUAAACUCAAGUCAGUCACAAAGCUCGGCUAUAACCAAGUCUAAACGUAUCUGCAAAGACUUGUUCAAAGCGCGUUGGAACAUCCAAGUAUUUGAGCGCCGGAGCCGCAAGAGAGGUCGAGAACUCCAUGGCUACCAAAGGAGAGCUGUGCUUCAUCUUCUCGUCGAUCUUCAUCCUGGGAUUUUCUCGAGCGGAACUGUACUACAGGAAUUUCACCAGUGAAGUAAAUGGUCCCCUGUAUCCGCUUGAUCCAUCCGGCUUGAGUGGCCGCUACACUGAUUUAUGGUCCAACUACACCGACACGGACAUGAGCUUCCAGGUGUGGAUGCUGAGCUAUGACGCCACAACACCAAGAUCGUUCUUCCUGGCACUGGUUGGAAUUCGCAAUCCAAGUAAGCUCUGGGACCUCACAAAACCGGUCGUUCUGUGGAAGGCCCGUCAGACGAGGCUUGUAGGAGAGAAUGCCACUCUAGCAUUCACCACCGAUGGAGAGCUCAAGCUUGAAGAAGAUGGCGACGUUGUCUGGUCCUCCAACACCACAAACAAAGGCGUCCGGUGGCUUGCCAUAUCCGACAGCGCGACCAUAAUGCUCCUGGAUGAAAGUGAAAGCAAUGUCAUCUGGCAAAGUAGCGACGAACCUUCUGACACUGUGCUGUUGCAACGAGCGCUUAAGCCGGGAUAUAAGCUCGUAAGUUGGAAUACUUCAGAAGACAGCAGCGACGGCCUGUAUAGCCUUGUCAUGGAGAAGAACAGGCUCAAACUGCUAUACGACUCGCAACCAUACUGGAGCUUCGGUAAUAUUACAAGAGAGGAAGAUAUGUUUGCGGUCUUCUGCUGGCAGCCAAAUGGAGUCGUGUCCCUGGAUCUCCGAACUAAUUUCUCACAGAUAGAAGGUGCGGGCUUGGUACAGCCGGAGUCUUGUGCCAUACCUGGUUCUGAAGACCAAGCGAUGCAGCUGCCAAUAAACGGGUCACAGUUCACGUCCUCCACUUUCAUAAGGCUCACACCAGAUGGAGAUGUGGACCUGUACUCCUGGAAUUGGACGGGUAGCAACUGGGUGACUUAUCUCAGCUUUUCCAAUCACUUCAAGUGCUUCCUUCCAAGUGCAUGCGGGAAAUAUAGAACCUGUAAUCCAACAUUAGGUACAUGCGAAGAUACUUGUCCCGAGAGCUUUACCAAGAAAGAUGAAGAUUGCCAGCCAUCGUUUCCACUUCAGAUGUGUGAGGAGGAGAUGGAGUAUCGAUUCGUUCGGAAGGAGGGAACUGAUUACUUCUCCACAAAUUAUACUGAUCCACUCAAUGUUGCAUCGGAAGAAGAUUGUCAAGGGUUGUGUGAGUCGAAUUGCAACUGCACGGCUGCCUUCUAUAGUGACCGGGCCUGCUUUCUCGUGCAUGGAGACGUGCAAUCACUUCGAACUGGAAAAUACGUUGCGUUAUUGAAAGUUGCACAGCCACGAAAGAAUUCCAGGAAGCACGUCCAGGCCAUCACCUUGGGAGUACUUAUUCCAACAGUCGUCCUACUGAUAGUAAGCCUCGGAUGGCGCUGCCGGAGGAACAAGGAAGAUGACGACGAGGGAGAAGAAGAAAGCACCUUGCAGCUCUCUCUCAUGGCUGGCAUGCCGAGGCGUUUUAGUUACCAGGAGCUCCAGCAAGUCACAGGGAACUUCAGUGAUAGACUGGGAAGCGGAGGAUAUGGAAGCGUGUUCAAAGGAAAACUUACCGAUGGAACUGAAGUCGCUGUGAAGAAACUCGAAGGCUCCAACCAGAGGAGCAAAGACUUUUUCGCCGAAGUUGGAAUCCUAGCCAGGACGCACCACUGGAACCUCGUCAAGCUGCUGGGAUUCUGUGCCCAAGGUCCCAGGAAAAGGCUCCUUGUGUACGAAUAUAUGAAGAACGGGUCCCUGGAGCGAUGGAUAUUUGAAGACGAUAGAAAGCCUGGCAGUUUUACAUGGGACGUUAGAUACAACAUUGCCUUGGGCACAGCAAGAGGAUUGAGUUACUUACAUGACGACUGCGCUGAGAGGAUCAUCCACCUGGACCUGAAGCCGGAGAAUGUGCUCGUCGACGAUGGUUUCCAGCCGAAGAUAGCCGACUUCGGAUUGUCCAAGCUCAUGGACAGGAAGGAAAGCCAGCUACAACUGACAAUUGCGAGAGGCACCCCUGGAUACGUCGCACCCGAGUGUGUUCAGGAAGGAACGGUGACUGAGAAAACCGACGUUUUCGGCUACGGGGUACUGCUGCUCGAGAUGUUAACAGGUUGCAAGAACAGGAACCUCUCAAGUGAUUACCUGAAGGACUUCUUGUUAGUCAGUGGACAGAACGACAGUGCUGCUGCUCACCUCCAUCAAGACGAGAAGAAAAGAGAAAGAUUGAAGAACGUUGCAGCCUUGUGCGUCCAAGACGAUCCAGAUUUACGGCCCUCGAUGAGCAACGUGGUACAAAUGAUACUGGGAGUUACUGAGCUGCCUCAAAUGCCCUCGCGAUCACAGCUGAAUUUCUUUCUUGCUUACAGAUCCAAAGAGCACUUGAACAGGAGCUCAGGCUCGGACGUCUCGCAUAGGAGUUUUGAUAAGUUGCUGGAUUCAUCGAUGUCAUCGACGUCAUUUGCAAUUUUCUCACAAAAUAGUGGUCGAUAGUUAAACCGGAGUAUAAUUUAAACGUAGGUAUAGUAUUGCCUCUGAAAAUCACAAAAUUUGUUGAGGCUCAUUCUUUGUCAAAGAAGUAAAAAUAUACCUUCGGAGGAAGUAUUUCGUCCUUGUUCAACAAGAGAAUCGCCGAUCACAAUGCUUCUAGGAGUUUUGGGUUUGGUGGUUCAGAAUCGUGUUCUUCGUUCCCUACGUCGCAGCGUCGCGCAGUGUUUCUUGCCAAGAAAAAUGAAAAGUCGCUGUUAGACUCCGCAAACCAUUACUAAACAAUACCUCACACAUGGUCACAUUGCAGUGCCGCAUUGAAUAGCAAUUAGCGUUGAAACAGUCCCGACGAGACAAUUUCCUGGCAUUACUAAAACUCAACGAUGAACAGCGGCACAAACUAUUCCUUAUCAGCUGUGUAAACGCGAACGAAUAAAUAACUUUAGUCAUACGUACUUGCGGAAAGACUUCUUCAAAGCUAAUGCUUCGAGUCGCUGGAACUCCCGAGUAUGUGAGCGCGCUCUCCAGCAACGGCUAGCAGAGAGCUGUACUUCCUCGUCUCGUUGGUCUUCAUCCUUCGCUCUGCUCAAGCGGCACAGGAAUUUCACCACCAAAAUAGAUGGUCCUUUGUAUCCGCUUGAUCCAUACGGUUUGAGUGGCCGCUACGCUGGUUUACGGUCAAAUUAUAGCGACAUAGGUAUCAGCAAGGACAUGAGUUACCAGGUGUGGAUGCUGAGUUAUAACGCUGAAACGCCAAAAUCGUUUUUCCUGGCACUCAUUGCCAUCCUGUGGAAGGCCCGACAGACGAGGCUUGUAGGUGAGAAUGCCACUUUACAAUUUACCACAGAUGGAGAGCUUAAAGUCGAAGAAGACGGUGAUGUCGUAUGGUCCACGAAAACUGCAAACAGAGGCGACCGGUGGCUCUGCAUUUCCAAUCGCGCAACCAUAAUGCUCCUGGACGAAAGCGGAAGCAAUGUCAUCUGGCAAAGCAGCGACGAACCUUCUGAUACUGUGCUGUUGCAACGAGCACUUACGCCGGGACAAAAGCUCGUAAGUUUCAAUAAUUCAGAAGACAGCAGCGAUGGCCUCUAUAGUCUCGUCAUGGAGAAAAGCAGGCUGCAACUGUUGUACGCCUCGCAACCGUAUUGGAGUUUCGGUAAUAUUGGCAGCGGGGAAAACAUGUUUGCUGUGUUUUGCUGGCAAAACGAUGGUAACGUGUCUCUGGAUCUGCGAGCCAACUUCUCACAGAUUGAAACGAAGCAUGAUGACUUGGGCUUAGUGUUUUCCUGGUCAUGUUCCAGUCGAGGUUUAAGAGACCAAGUGAUGGAGUUGCCAAUAGAUGGGUCACAACUCACGGCCUCCACUUUCAUAAAGCUGAAACCGGACGGGGAUGUCGUCUUGUACUCCUGGAAUUGGACGGGUACAAACUGGAUAGAUUUCUUCAGGUUUUCGACUCUCUUCAAGUGCUUUCUUCCAAGUGGAUGUGGAAGAUACAGAACCUGCAAUUCAGCAUCAGGCGCAUGCGAGGAAACUUGUCCAGAUACCUUUGCAAGAAGAGGUGAAGACUGCCAGCCACCAUAUCCACUAGAGACAUGCGAAGACCAGCUCGAGUAUCGAUUCGUUCGAAGAGAGGGAGCUGAUUACUUCUCCACAAAUUAUUCCACUCCAGUUCCUGAAGCAUCAGUGGAGGCGUGUCAGGGGCGACGUGAGUCGAACUGCACCUGCACGGCGGCCUUUUAUAAUGACGGGAGCUGCUUUCUCACGCACGGCGACGUGCAGUCACUCCGAUCUGGGAAGUACGUUGCUCUGCUGAAAGUUGCCCGCCCUCGAAAGGUUUCCAAGACGCAACUCCAGGCCAUCACAUUGGGAGUACUUGUUCCAACAUUGUUCCUGCUGAUAGUCUGUCUCGGAUGGCACUGCCGGAGGAGAAAUAAGCAUGAUGACGACGAGGGAGAAGAAGAAAGCACCUUGCAGCUAUCCCUCAUGGCGGGUAUCCCCAGGCGCUUCAGUUUCCAGGAGCUUGAAGAAGUCACAGGGAAGUUCAGCAACUGCCUCGGGAAUGGAGGAUUCGGAAACGUUUUCAAAGGAUUACUUGCCGAUGGCACUGAAGUUGCUGUGAAGAAGCUCGAAGGCUCGAACCAGAAAAGUAAGGACUUUUUUGCGGAAGUUGGAAUUCUAGCCAGGACGCACCACUGGAACCUCGUCAAGCUGCUGGGAUUCUGUGCGCAAGGGCCCAGGAAAAGGCUCCUUGUGUACGAGUAUAUGAAGAAUGGCUCCCUAGAGCGGUGGAUAUUUGAAGACGACAGAAUUCCUGGGAAUAUUUCGUGGAAACUUAGAUUCAACAUCGCAAUAGGCACAGCGAGAGGAUUGAACUACUUACACGAUGACUGUGUUGAAAGGAUAAUCCACCUGGAUCUGAAGCCGGAGAACGUACUCCUCGACGAUGGUUUCCAGCCGAAGAUAGCAGACUUCGGAUUGUCCAAGCUCAUGGACAGGAAGGAAAGCCAGUUGCAGCUGACGAUUACGAGAGGCACCCCUGGCUACGUUGCACCGGAGUGUAUUCAGGAAGGAACGGUG
RNAcentral lists this long non-coding RNA (6742 nucleotides) under Selaginella moellendorffii. RNAcentral's name for it is "long non-coding RNA (SMOE_LNC002448)". The record is from RNAcentral. Lineage: Eukaryota; Viridiplantae; Streptophyta; Lycopodiopsida; Selaginellales; Selaginellaceae.